GGUGUCUGGAUUUUGUUCACCUUAGCUGGCAGCUCUGGAAUCCCUGUCACCUGACCAGAAAGCAGAGCUGCUGCUGGAUCCAUCCACCGGUGCUCUUGAAAAUGUGACCGUGGUGAAAGAGGUGCUGAGCAGCAUUGUAAAAUCCCCAGAAGGGCAGCAGCUAGAGAAAUUCUUUGAAACGUUCGUGGAGGUCAGCAAGGAGAAACACAUCCCCUACAUCAGCAACGCUGAGGUCCGGGACGCAAUACUGAACCUGACUUUGACGGCUCUGGCUCCCAGAUUCCCUGUCUUCCAAACCAGUGACUACCAGCUGUGGUUCCAGAUAAAUCUGGUUGUAGUGCUGGCCAGCUUCCGUCCUGAGGUUCUAGUGGUGAUCCCCGCCAACCUCACCUGUGACGCUUACGAUGCAAUAUUGAAAGGCCUGGAGAACGCUUUGGCACUUCUCCCAUCUCAAGCUGCAGUGGAGCUGACGUCAAGCAUCGAUGAACUUCUACAGUCACCCC
Long non-coding RNA from Puntigrus tetrazona (Sumatra barb), 503 nucleotides. RefSeq lists it as uncharacterized. The record is from RefSeq and is a predicted model, not a curated record. The transcript has 3 exons. Lineage: Eukaryota; Metazoa; Chordata; Actinopteri; Cypriniformes; Cyprinidae.